RNAcentral lists this ribosomal RNA (271 nucleotides) under uncultured bacterium. RNAcentral describes it as "partial 16S ribosomal RNA". It matches the Rfam family "Bacterial small subunit ribosomal RNA", at positions 524 to 794 of the family's 1533-position model. The record is from RNAcentral.
UACGUAGGGGGCGAGCGUUGUCCGGAAUUAUUGGGCGUAAAGAGCGUGUAGGCGGUUCGGUAAGUCCGCCGUGAAAAUCCGAGGCUCAACCUCGGGCUUGCGGUGGAUACUGUCGGGCUAGAGGAUGGUAGAGGGGAGUGGAAUUCCCGGUGUAGCGGUGAAAUGCGCAGAUAUCGGGAGGAACACCAGUAGCGAAGGCGGCUCCCUGGGCCAUUCCUGACGCUGAGACGCGAAAGCUAGGGGAGCGAACAGGAUUAGAAACCCGGGUAGU